Molecule: ribosomal RNA, 484 nt
Filed under: uncultured bacterium
Lineage: Bacteria
Description: partial 16S ribosomal RNA
Rfam family: Bacterial small subunit ribosomal RNA
Source: RNAcentral
GACGAACGCUGGCGGCGUGCUUAACACAUGCAAGUCGAACGGAAAGGCCCUGCUUGCAGGGUACUCGAGUGGCGAACGGGUGAGUAACACGUGGGUGAUCUGCCCUGCACUUCGGGAUAAGCCUGGGAAACUGGGUCUAAUACCGGAUAGGAGCCAUUUUUAGUGUGAUGGUUGGAAAGUUUUUUCGGUGUAGGAUGAGCUCGCGGCCUAUCAGCUUGUUGGUGGGGUAAUGGCCUACCAAGGCGGCGACGGGUAGCCGGCGUGAGAGGGUGGACGGCCACACUGGAACUGAGACACGGUCCAGACUCCUACGGGAGGCCGCGGCAGGGACUGUUGCGCAAUGGGCGAAAGCUUGACGGAGGCACGCCGCGUGAGUGCUGAAGGGCCUCGGGUCGUAAAACUCUGUUAUUAGGGAAGAACAAAUGCGUAAGUAACUAUGCACGUCUUGACGGUACCUAAUCAGAAAGCCCCGGCUAACUACGUG